UUCUAAAGCCACAUAUGAAACCAAUAACAAAACCCUAGCAAUCUACUUCACAUUGAAGUGGAAAAAUAUCCGAAAGGAGCAGCUUCAACUUUAAUAAGGGGAAAAAUAUAGAAUCACAAGCAGCUGACUCACUGGAGUGGUCCAUUUGGAUGCACUACUUCUUUUCUUUCAAUAUAGACUAUUAUUAUCUGGAUUACUUCAGGUGAAAAAAGUAUUACUGGACAUUUGUCGCUAAAGAUGGGUUUUCCAGAGAAUUCCCGUGAAGGCUUUACCAGGGGAAAAAUUGUAGGACACACACCACGAAACAAGAAGAAAAGUUUACACCAGUAAUCUGCAUUCUGUCCUGGAGGAAAUUUAAUGCUAGAAAUGGAGAAAAAUAUUAAUGCUCUCUAAACAUCAUAUAUCAAUUAAGUUUUCCAAAACAUUUAUUAGAAAAUUAAGAAGUUGGUUUUCUGUCCCAGUGACUGCUAACAGAGAGAAAGGGAGAGGGAUAGAGAGUUAGGAACAUCGAUGAGAGAAACAUCGACCAGCUGUUUUUGUCCUGAGUUCUUUAAGAUAUAAAAACCUCUUUUGCAUCAAAAUUGACAAGAUCAGGUCUAAUCUGUUGCUAAAUUAUAAUCCACCAAUACCCUAAUGGAGGUAAGCAAAACUA
Myotis brandtii (Brandt's bat) is the source of this 652-nucleotide long non-coding RNA. RefSeq lists it as uncharacterized. The transcript is spliced from 7 exons. The record is from RefSeq and is a predicted model, not a curated record. Lineage: Eukaryota; Metazoa; Chordata; Mammalia; Chiroptera; Vespertilionidae.